Molecule: long non-coding RNA, 231 nt
Organism: Athene cunicularia (burrowing owl)
Lineage: Eukaryota; Metazoa; Chordata; Aves; Strigiformes; Strigidae
Exons: 4
Source: RefSeq, a predicted model, not a curated record
UUGUGUCAUUUCUCAUCACAGAUACCAGAUGAACAAGAAGUCCAAAGCAAAGCUCAAGUGGUAACAAAAGCCUAGAAAGGGGUAACUGGGAAGGACCAUUUCCUUUAAUAACCUGGGGAAGAGGUGAUGCUGGUGUCUCCACAGGUCACAGUCCCUGGUGAUUACUGGCAAGGUGUGUGCAACCACACCUGAGGUGUGAGAGGCAGCUCUUGGUGGGCACUCAGGGGCCGC